UGUGGUACCAGUAUAUUCAGGUAAACCAUUGGUGUGCACAUGGUAUAUUGUACAGUGAGUUUUACUGUACUUCAAUGAUGCCUGUAUAUAUUUCUUGAAGUUGUAAAUACCCAUAAGAACAGAAAACAUUUAUACUUUACUAAACUGUGUAAUUCUAGAAUAGGCUAUGUGAAACAAACCUUCUAUUUUGUUGCUAUAUAGAGAAUAAUGGAGCUGGAAGGACAUGAAAUGACCCACAUUCUUGUUUUUGUGGACUCGGCUGGGUUCAAUCUGGCCAAAGGCAGGAGGCGUGGAUACAAUCUCAUUGGACACCGAGUCACAAUUGCCACAACAGGCCAACGUGGGGGCAACAUUACAAUGUGUGCUGCCAUUUCUGAGAAUGGUGUGAGCACACAUAUUCCACACAUUGGGCCCUAUAACACCCAACUUCUCCUGGCCUUCCUAAAUACACUUUACAGAGACCUAAUACCAGAACACCAAAGAGGUUUAGUUAGACCAGAUUUGCCAUAUUAUGUAAUUGUGUGGGAUAAUGGUCGGCUUCCACCGAACCAACAUUGUUAGGAAAUGGUUUGCUGCACAUGAAAGGAUAACAAUGGAGUUCCUUCCCACCAUCCUCCCCUUUCCUGAAUCCGAAAGAAGAGUUUUGUUCAGCAUGGAGGUGGAAAGUAUAUGACUAUCAGGCACAAGAUCAGAUGUCUCUGUUAGAUGCCGUGAAUGCCGUUUGUGAGGACAUCACAGGCGAUCAUUGCAGGGGAUGGUUGAGCCACGCAAGGAGAUUUUCCCCCCGGUGCAUCACAAGGGAAAACAUCAGAUGUGAUGUUGACGAAAGUCUCCGGCCAGACCAACAAGAGCAACAGGAUGUCCACCAAGAAGAUGGGAACUUGUAGUGUUACGUACUGUGAGGAGUUCCUGCUAGGUAUGAUAGGCUCCACUGACGAGGUCCUUCUGGAGGCAGCCGCUGUCUGUGUGGCUAACAUCCGCCGUCUUUGCCCUGGCCAAUAAGAAGGCACGAUGCGGUUAACCAAUCACAACCACAACGACCUCCCCAGCAGCUACUGUGUCCUCAUCAUCACCUCUUAUUGCUGAUUGGAUGUCAUGGGUCCAGAUGUACUCCAGUAGCCUUCCAUCCGCAGAGACUUUUCUCACUAUGCCUCUAUCCUUUCCGCCCAUCCCACAGAAUAUAGGUGUGAUUCAAAUCAAAUAUGAUGAGUGGUGCAUGUGUAUUUAUGUCCCUUCUUCCUUCUGCCUCCAUCUGUCAUAGUGGGAAGCUUUUAGUCCAUGCUACCCAUGAAUUUAAAUGAUUAUUUCAUUUGGGGGUCAAGCAAACAUAUAGGACCUACAAACAUGUGUGCCCAUGCCAGAUGCCCCAUCCCUGUACCUGAGAGUGAAGAGGUUUAGAGCAUGUAUUGUUCAGUCACAUUCCUUACGUAAUAAACAUGAGACACUGAUAUCUAAACAAGACCACAUCUGGUUGUGUUACUCACUUCAACACAUGCACCUUAAAACUGAAAAUAUGUCUGUGAAUCACAGGGAACACAAACACAGACACAACCUUCAAUGAUUCAUUGAGAGAUAUUGGGAACAUAAUAAUGCAUUGUUGGGUCGGUAUAUAUUAGGUUUGCUUAUUUGCUCAACAGUCUGUCUGUCUGUAUACAAAAUCAAGAAGAUAUUCUCGUAAAUGUUGAAUGAUACUCAUAAAUUCAAUCAACAUUGACGUAAACGGGCAGAAUACGGCGAUAACAUCUCAGAAUAUAAUAGAAGGUCCCUCCUGCACUACAAAUAUGAGUAAAUAUGAAUCUUAACAUGUAAUUGGUAUGAGCAGUUUCCCUAUUAAUCACAAUUACCUAAUGUAUUAUCUGUUGCAUUAUGGGUAGACAUGGCCAUUAUAAGUAAUUGGGAAAAUGUAUAUUUGAAAUGUCCUCAUUAUUUUUGCCUGUAAAAAAAGUAUUUGUGGGCACUGGGACCACCUUAGAACCAAAAAACUAGUGUGGCAUCUGCUCAACAAUACCCAUUAAACGACUCAUACGUGACCAGAAUCUUUCUAAGAUCCAAUAACUAUUGCUGCCUAUUUAUACAAAUAAUGACAUGAAUAAAAAAGAGAGAAUGUAUUGCUUUUUUAUUGAAUAGAAAACAAAACAUAACAAACGUGAAGGGAUUCAAUAAGAAGAAUGAAUUGCUGCUUAUGCUCAGACAUCCCUACUUGUGUGGUAGGAAACUUGAUGAGUGAGUAUGUUCUCCUCCUCCUCUGUCUUGUGUCCAGUGUCCUUAGUCAAAACAGGCCAUGUUAGUUUCCAUUGUUUUACAAUAGGCUGCAUUCAGGCAGGCUAUGGCUGCUCCACCUCUCCUCUGGUCUGGCUGCUCCAGUGUCCUGGUCCUAAUUAGCCUCCCAGGCUUACUGUAGCACUGAGCCACCGAGCCACUGGAGGCAUCCCAAAUGGCACCCUAUUUCCUAUAUCGUGCACACGGCUCUGGUCAAAAGUAGUGCACUACACAGGGAAUAGGGUUCCAUUUGGGACACACCCACUGAGACUACUGACUCCUCCUGACUCCCAUAAAACAUUUCAAGGGACUUUCAUCAUUAAUAAUAUCAGCCUGGCUGAGCUAAUAUUGAAAAUUAGCAAAACAUCAAAAAUAUGUGGUCGAGAAAUCUUCAUCACUCUUGUGAUGUUUUAAACAGUACCAGCUGUCACCGGGGGUUACUGUGGGAGCACGGAGACAGAGAGGAGAGAGUGAACUUUAACUUGAUUACUCUGAAGAGAGAGCUCCUUCCAAAAAUCUGAAUGAGGAGCUGGAGCUGGGCUGAGGAAGGCCAUUGUAUCGAAAUGAUUCAAAACAAAUAAAUUCCCCAGUGAUUAAUGGCACUUUCAUUGCUCAUGCAGAUGCACUUUACGACCUUUCAAAAAACAUGCCAUAUCCGAAAACAGAUUUUUAGGAAACGUUUAAAUGAGAAGCAUUUGGUAACCUAAACAAGCAGAUGCUUGAGCAAGCCCCUCAUGUUGUGUUCUGUCUCUCUGUUUCUCUGUAUUUCUCUCUCUCUCUCUCUCUCUCUCUGCCUCUUUCUCUCUCUGUUUCGCUCUCUCUGUUAAGUGUUUAAAUUUGGAGGUUGCUGACUGGAAGGAUAUGCAUAACUAACAUCAUUAAACAAAUGUUGCAUGUUCUGCUGAAGGAAAGGAAUUUAUGAGAUGUACAACUCCACUACAUGUUUUAGCCAUUGGAGAGGAGGGGCAGAUGCACUGCUGCCUGGGAGUUCAAGGGGCAUAGCAUUAUCCACAGUGCUUAAAAAUAAAAUAUAUAUAUUCCUCUUGUUCACGAUGUCUUCCCAAUGUAUGCUGCUCAGUCAAGGUGACUAAUUAACCAAUUGAAAGCAUCCUCCUUGUUAUCUUCAAUAAAUAAUGUGUUUCUUGUCUUGA
Molecule: long non-coding RNA, 3410 nt
Organism: Oncorhynchus tshawytscha (Chinook salmon)
Lineage: Eukaryota; Metazoa; Chordata; Actinopteri; Salmoniformes; Salmonidae
Source: Ensembl